AUUGAACGCUGGCGGCGGGCCUAAUACAUGCAAGUCGAACGGGUGGCGGAGGGGCGAGCAAUGGCUUGGCACCUGCCUGAUGGAGCGGGAUAACUAGUGUAAACGGUAGCUAAUACUGCAUACCACCCGUUGUGCCCUGAUGGGAUUAGCUAGUCGGUGGGGUAACGGCUCACCGAGGCGACGAUCCCUAGCUGGUCUGAGAGGAUGACCGGCCACACUGGAACUGAGACACGGUCCAGACUCCGACGGGAGGCAGCAGUAGGGAAUAUUGCGCAAUGGGCGAAAGUCUGAUCCAGCAAUGCCGCGUGUAUGAAGAAGGCCUUCGGGUUGUAAAGUACUGUCAGCGGGGAAGCGUUAUUCACAGAGGAAGCACCGGCUAACUCCGUGCCAGCAGCCGCGGUAAUUC
Molecule: ribosomal RNA, 406 nt
Filed under: uncultured bacterium
Lineage: Bacteria
Description: partial 16S ribosomal RNA
Rfam family: Bacterial small subunit ribosomal RNA
Source: RNAcentral